This 234-nucleotide unclassified non-coding RNA is filed under the name Hevea brasiliensis (rubber tree). Lineage: Eukaryota; Viridiplantae; Streptophyta; Magnoliopsida; Malpighiales; Euphorbiaceae. The record is from RNAcentral.
AUUUGAUUUUUAGUUAGUAUAUUGGCUACUUUUGGUUCUUGCGGUUUCCGAAUGUGGUUGACUAAAACUUCUAUUUGCGUCCCAUAUACUGCUUUUUUGGAGAUAAUAUGAAUUUCUACUCGGCGAAGUCAAUACAUUUAGCUUUUUUUCCUAAUUUUUUUAAUACAAAAAUUGCUAUCAUGUUCUUAAGAUUACAUGACUUCACAUAUGCAGCAAUAGAAGUGAACUGUUUGU